AUGCAAGUCGACUGGAAUUCUUCUUCGGAAGAUAGUACGGUGGCGGACGGGUGAGUAACGCGUAAAGAAUUUGCCCUUCAGACUGGGACAACUAAUCGAAAGGUUAGCUAAUACCGGAUAUUAUGAGACCUUGGCAUCAAGGACUUAUGAAAGCUAUAUGCGCUGGAGGAGAACUUUGCGUUCCAUUAGCUAGUUGGUAGGGUAAUGGCCUACCAAGGCGACGAUGGAUAGCCGGCCUGAGAGGGUGAACGGCCACAAGGGGACUGAGACACGGCCCUUACUCCUACGGGAGGCAGCAGUGGGGAAUAUUGGACAAUGGACCAAAAGUCUGAUCCAGCAAUUCUGUGUGCACGAUGAAGGUCUUCGGAUUGUAAAGUGCUUUCAGGUGGGAAGAAGAAAGUGACGGUACCACCAGAAGAAGCGACGGCUAAAUACGUGCCAGCAGCCGCGGUAAUACGUAUGUCGCA
This 467-nucleotide ribosomal RNA is filed under the name uncultured Psychrilyobacter sp. RNAcentral describes it as "bacterial SSU rRNA". It matches the Rfam family "Bacterial small subunit ribosomal RNA", at positions 55 to 536 of the family's 1533-position model. The record is from RNAcentral. Lineage: Bacteria; Fusobacteriati; Fusobacteriota; Fusobacteriia; Fusobacteriales; Fusobacteriaceae.